Small nuclear RNA from Tupaia belangeri (northern tree shrew), 108 nucleotides. Lineage: Eukaryota; Metazoa; Chordata; Mammalia; Scandentia; Tupaiidae. The record is from Ensembl.
AUGCUUGCUUCGGCAGCACAUGUACUAAAAUUGGAACGAUACAGAGAAGAUUAGCAUGGCACCUUUGCAAGGAUGACACACAAAUUUGUGAAAGUGUUCCAUAUUUUU